RNAcentral lists this ribosomal RNA (434 nucleotides) under uncultured bacterium. RNAcentral describes it as "partial 16S ribosomal RNA". It matches the Rfam family "Bacterial small subunit ribosomal RNA", at positions 29 to 507 of the family's 1533-position model. The record is from RNAcentral.
AGCGAACGCUGGCGGCAGGCCUAACACAUGCAAGUCGAACGAACCUUUCGGGGUUAGUGGCGGACGGGUGAGUAACACGUGGGAACGUGCCUUUAAGUUCGGAAUAACUCAGGGAAACUUGUGCUAAUACCGAAUGAGCCCUUCGGGGGAAAGAUUUAUCGCCUUUAGAGCGGCCCGCGUCUGAUUAGCUAGUUGGUUGAGGUAAUGGCUCACCAAGGCGACGAUCAGUAGCUGGUCUGAGAGGAUGAUCAGCCACAUUGGGACUGAGACACGGCCCAAACUCCUACGGGAGGCAGCAGUGGGGAAUCUUGCGCAAUGGGCGAAAGCCUGACGCAGCCAUGCCGCGUGAAUGAUGAAGGUCUUAGGAUUGUAAAAUUCUUUCACCGGGGACGAUAAUGACGGUACCCGGAGAAGAAGCCCCGGCUAACUUCGUG